RNAcentral lists this ribosomal RNA (564 nucleotides) under uncultured Glomeromycotina. Its description in RNAcentral is "SSU rRNA". It matches the Rfam family "Eukaryotic small subunit ribosomal RNA", at positions 548 to 1114 of the family's 1831-position model. The record is from RNAcentral. Lineage: Eukaryota; Fungi; Glomeromycota.
UUGGAGGGCAAGUCUGGUGCCAGCAGCCGCGGUAAUUCCAGCUCCAAUAGCGUAUAUUAAAGUUGUUGCAGUUAAAAAGCUCGUAGUUGAAUUUCGGGAUCAGAUUGUCGGUCGUGCCUCGGUACGCACUGGUAUUAUUGGUUCCUACCUUCUGAAGAACCGCGAUGUCAUUAAUUUGGUGUCGUGGGGAAUCAGGACUGUUACUUUGAAAAAAUUAGAGUGUUUAAAGCAGGCUUACGCUUGAAUACAUUAGCAUGGAAUAAUGAAAUAGGACGUUUGAUUCUAUUUUGUUGGUUUCUAGGAUUGACGUAAUGAUUAAUAGGGAUAGUUGGGGGCAUUAGUAUUCAAUUGUCAGAGGUGAAAUUCUUGGAUUUAUUGAAGACUAACUACUGCGAAAGCAUUUGCCAAGGAUGUUUUCAUUAAUCAAGAACGAAAGUUAGGGGAUCGAAGACGAUCAGAUACCGUCGUAGUCUUAACCAUAAACUAUGCCGACUAGGGAUCGGAUGAUGUUAAUUUUUUAAUGACACAUUCGGCGCCUUACGGGAAACCAAAGUGUUUGGGUUC